GGCUCGGGCCAGGGACUUGGACGUCCCGAGGAGAAGCCGGGAUGACCCCACCGACGGCCUCACAGGACUGUCCUCAGCAUCAGAAGUGACCGUGAUCCUGAGACUCCCCAGCAGGGCCGGCCUCGGAGGCGACACAUCCUGAGCGCUUCCUUCCUCCCCCGCGAGCUGCGCUGACCAUGGCCCUGGCCAGAGCUCGGAGACGAGGGUGGAGGCUCCCGGGGAGCUCAGGCUCGUCACGUUUCAGCCCCUUUUUGAGUAAAAGGGAGAUACUACUACCUGCCUUCUAUUCACCUUUUCAAGGAUGUUGUCAGGAUUAACUGAAUGGGGCACAUUAAGCUCCUGUUUCCUCAGAGCGAGACAGCAGAAAACGUCAGAGAGAACAUGGGCGUCCACCCACUCGGAGUCACUCCCACACCCCGGGGACCCGCUCGGCCCCUCCGUGGCAGACAGUGCCCUUUCAGAUCAGCCCAGCAUCCUCGCCUGCACAGGGACCUUUCUCCCGUCGAUGCCUAAAGCACUUGUUAUCUGUCUGCUCUGAGAUCACUGCUGCUCACGGUGUUUCCUGCACAGUUAGCUCAGACCAAGUUCUCCAUGGUGAGCUCUUCCCGUAAAGAACCGGCGCCCCGGGCAGUGAGGGGCCUCCUGAGGGCGGCCCAGCCUGCGGUUGUUGAGGGUCACGGUGCUGUGUGUCCGGUCGGCGGUCCACACGUCAGGAGUGCAGGCAGCUCGCACGUCCCCAGUGCAAGACAGACUGAGGGGCGGGGGUGCGCCUCCCAACACCCUGACACUGCCUGCAACUGGGAGAGCCUCAGGGACCGGAGGGGGCAAGGUCAAGACCCUCUGCUGGCCAGAGCAGGUGCUGGGCCACAACAAGGCCAGGGCUUGGCGGCCCGCGGGAAGACCUCAGAAGCCGGCUCUGCAGAGGGGGAUGGGAACGGAUGAGACCGGUCCCAAUAGACUGAAGGGAGGGUGGGCCACCCAGGGACCAAGUCGGGAAGGACUGGACUUCUGACACCUGGACAUCGAGGUGACAGUUAAAGCUACGAGUGAGUGAUUCUACAAAGAAGUCGGCUUAAAACGAGAGCAAAUUAUCUGAAGUCUGAGCUUCUGGGGACACCCAGAGAUGAAGGUCCAGAGGGAAAAAAAACCAGCAGGUGAGGUGUUGAUCAGCUGACACACUCACUGGCUCCUGUGAGGCGCCCCCCAGCCCAGGUGUCAGGGGAGGACGCACAGAGAAUUUCGCUAGUGUCCUACA
Long non-coding RNA from Physeter macrocephalus (sperm whale), 1255 nucleotides. RefSeq lists it as uncharacterized. The record is from RefSeq and is a predicted model, not a curated record. The transcript has 3 exons. Lineage: Eukaryota; Metazoa; Chordata; Mammalia; Artiodactyla; Physeteridae.